AACGAACGCUGGCGGCAUGCCUAACACAUGCAAGUCGAACGAGACCUUCGGGUCUGGUGGCGCACGGGUGCGUGAAGGGGGGGAACAUGCGCUGAGGAUCGGCCUAACUCUUCGGAAGGGGUGCUAGUACCGGGUAAUGUUUUCGGACCGGAGAUUUAUCGCCUGUGGAUGGGGCCGCGUUGGAUUGGCGAGGUGGGAGGGUAAAAGCCUACCAAGGCGACGAUCCAUAGCUGGUCGGAGAGGAUGAUCAGCCACACUGGGACUGGGACCCGGCCCCGACUCCUGCGGGAGGCGGCAGAUGGUAAUCUUGGACAAUGGGCGAGAGCCUGAUCCAGCGAUGCCGGGUGAGUGAUGAAGGCCUUAGGGUUGUAAAGCGCUUUUAACCGGGAUGAUAAUGACAGUACCGGGAGAAUAAGCUCCGGCUAACUCCGUG
Molecule: ribosomal RNA, 433 nt
Filed under: uncultured bacterium
Lineage: Bacteria
Description: partial 16S ribosomal RNA
Rfam family: Bacterial small subunit ribosomal RNA
Source: RNAcentral